Molecule: ribosomal RNA, 2921 nt
Filed under: Staphylococcus aureus DAR1174
Lineage: Bacteria; Bacillati; Bacillota; Bacilli; Caryophanales; Staphylococcaceae
Description: bacterial LSU rRNA
Rfam family: Bacterial large subunit ribosomal RNA
Source: RNAcentral
UUAAGUUAUUAAGGGCGCACGGUGGAUGCCUUGGCACUAGAAGCCGAUGAAGGACGUUACUAACGACGAUAUGCUUUGGGGAGCUGUAAGUAAGCUUUGAUCCAGAGAUUUCCGAAUGGGGAAACCCAGCAUGAGUUAUGUCAUGUUAUCGAUAUGUGAAUACAUAGCAUAUCAGAAGGCACACCCGGAGAACUGAAACAUCUUAGUACCCGGAGGAAGAGAAAGAAAAUUCGAUUCCCUUAGUAGCGGCGAGCGAAACGGGAAGAGCCCAAACCAAAAAGCUUGCUUGUUGGGGUUGUAGGACACUCUAUACGGAGUUACAAAGGACGACAUUAGACGAAUCAUCUGGAAAGAUGAAUCAAAGAAGGUAAUAAUCCUGUAGUCGAAAAUGUUGUCUCUCUUGAGUGGAUCCUGAGUACGACGGAGCACGUGAAAUUCCGUCGGAAUCUGGGAGGACCAUCUCCUAAGGCUAAAUACUCUCUAGUGACCGAUAGUGAACCAGUACCGUGAGGGAAAGGUGAAAAGCACCCCGGAAGGAGAGUGAAAUAGAACCUGAAACCGUGUGCUUACAAGUAGUCAGAGCCCGUUAAUGGGUGAUGGCGUGCCUUUUGUAGAAUGAACCGGCGAGUUACGAUUUGAUGCAAGGUUAAGCAGUAAAUGUGGAGCCGUAGCGAAAGCGAGUCUGAAUAGGGCGUUUAGUAUUUGGUCGUAGACCCGAAACCAGGUGAUCUACCCUUGGUCAGGUUGAAGUUCAGGUAACACUGAAUGGAGGACCGAACCGACUUACGUUGAAAAGUGAGCGGAUGAACUGAGGGUAGCGGAGAAAUUCCAAUCGAACCUGGAGAUAGCUGGUUCUCUCCGAAAUAGCUUUAGGGCUAGCCUCAAGUGAUGAUUAUUGGAGGUAGAGCACUGUUUGGACGAGGGGCCCCUCUCGGGUUACCGAAUUCAGACAAACUCCGAAUGCCAAUUAAUUUAACUUGGGAGUCAGAACAUGGGUGAUAAGGUCCGUGUUCGAAAGGGAAACAGCCCAGACCACCAGCUAAGGUCCCAAAAUAUAUGUUAAGUGGAAAAGGAUGUGGCGUUGCCCAGACAACUAGGAUGUUGGCUUAGAAGCAGCCAUCAUUUAAAGAGUGCGUAAUAGCUCACUAGUCGAGUGACACUGCGCCGAAAAUGUACUGGGGCUAAACAUAUUACCGAAGCUGUGGAUUGUCCUUUGGACAAUGGUAGGAGAGCGUUCUAAGGGCGUUGAAGCAUGAUCGUAAGGACAUGUGGAGCGCUUAGAAGUGAGAAUGCCGGUGUGAGUAGCGAAAGACGGGUGAGAAUCCCGUCCACCGAUUGACUAAGGUUUCCAGAGGAAGGCUCGUCCGCUCUGGGUUAGUCGGGUCCUAAGCUGAGGCCGACAGGCGUAGGCGAUGGAUAACAGGUUGAUAUUCCUGUACCACCUAUAAUCGUUUUAAUCGAUGGGGGGACGCAGUAGGAUAGGCGAAGCGUGCGAUUGGAUUGCACGUCUAAGCAGUAAGGCUGAGUAUUAGGCAAAUCCGGUACUCGUUAAGGCUGAGCUGUGAUGGGGAGAAGACAUUGAGUCUUCGAGUCGUUGAUUUCACACUGCCGAGAAAAGCCUCUAGAUAGAAAAUAGGUGCCCGUACCGCAAACCGACACAGGUAGUCAAGAUGAGAAUUCUAAGGUGAGCGAGCGAACUCUCGUUAAGGAACUCGGCAAAAUGACCCCGUAACUUCGGGAGAAGGGGUGCUCUUUAGGGUUAACGCCCAGAAGAGCCGCAGUGAAUAGGCCCAAGCGACUGUUUAUCAAAAACACAGGUCUCUGCUAAACCGUAAGGUGAUGUAUAGGGGCUGACGCCUGCCCGGUGCUGGAAGGUUAAGAGGAGUGGUUAGCUUCUGCGAAGCUACGAAUCGAAGCCCCAGUAAACGGCGGCCGUAACUAUAACGGUCCUAAGGUAGCGAAAUUCCUUGUCGGGUAAGUUCCGACCCGCACGAAAGGCGUAACGAUUUGGGCACUGUCUCAACGAGAGACUCGGUGAAAUCAUAGUACCUGUGAAGAUGCAGGUUACCCGCGACAGGACGGAAAGACCCCGUGGAGCUUUACUGUAGCCUGAUAUUGAAAUUCGGCACAGCUUGUACAGGAUAGGUAGGAGCCUUUGAAACGUGAGCGCUAGCUUACGUGGAGGCGCUGGUGGGAUACUACCCUAGCUGUGUUGGCUUUCUAACCCGCACCACUUAUCGUGGUGGGAGACAGUGUCAGGCGGGCAGUUUGACUGGGGCGGUCGCCUCCUAAAAGGUAACGGAGGCGCUCAAAGGUUCCCUCAGAAUGGUUGGAAAUCAUUCAUAGAGUGUAAAGGCAUAAGGGAGCUUGACUGCGAGACCUACAAGUCGAGCAGGGUCGAAAGACGGACUUAGUGAUCCGGUGGUUCCGCAUGGAAGGGCCAUCGCUCAACGGAUAAAAGCUACCCCGGGGAUAACAGGCUUAUCUCCCCCAAGAGUUCACAUCGACGGGGAGGUUUGGCACCUCGAUGUCGGCUCAUCGCAUCCUGGGGCUGUAGUCGGUCCCAAGGGUUGGGCUGUUCGCCCAUUAAAGCGGUACGCGAGCUGGGUUCAGAACGUCGUGAGACAGUUCGGUCCCUAUCCGUCGUGGGCGUAGGAAAUUUGAGAGGAGCUGUCCUUAGUACGAGAGGACCGGGAUGGACAUACCUCUGGUGUACCAGUUGUCGUGCCAACGGCAUAGCUGGGUAGCUAUGUGUGGACGGGAUAAGUGCUGAAAGCAUCUAAGCAUGAAGCCCCCCUCAAGAUGAGAUUUCCCAACUUCGGUUAUAAGAUCCCUCAAAGAUGAUGAGGUUAAUAGGUUCGAGGUGGAAGCAUGGUGACAUGUGGAGCUGACGAAUACUAAUCGAUCGAAGACUUAAUCAA